CCGAUCCAAGCCGGAGUCCGACGCUUAACAGACAGAGCCACCAUCACAUCGAUGCUCAUAACAAUUUCAACUCUUCCAUUUCCUCACUAGCUUCUGGUGGCUGUCCACAGCUUCUGUGAUGGGCUAAUCCUGGAACCCAGACCUGGGAUGAAAACAAGGAUGCUGAGCAAAGAACAUUCCAGACAGACACAGGGAACAGUAAAUUGAAUUUGGAGGAGCUGCCAAUCAUGCAAACUCUAAGGAAAAAAUACUGAAGUCUUACGGAAAAAUACAGAAAACCUCCAUAUUGCUGCAUUUAUAUUAUGUUAUAAUUUGAAAUGCCUUGCCUUGAAAUAACUUUUGACAUCUAGAUCAAUGCUGUCCAGUAGAAAUACAAUGUGUGCUAUGUAAAUAAUUUAAAAUUUUCUUGAAAGUACAUUAAAAAUGGAAACAAACAGAUGG
Molecule: long non-coding RNA, 441 nt
Organism: Suricata suricatta (meerkat)
Lineage: Eukaryota; Metazoa; Chordata; Mammalia; Carnivora; Herpestidae
Exons: 3
Source: RefSeq, a predicted model, not a curated record